GGACUGUUGCUCAAUGGUAGAGCGCUCGCCUAGCACAUGCGGGGGCCCUGGGCUCAAUCCUCAGCACCA
Molecule: transfer RNA, 69 nt
Filed under: Marmota monax (woodchuck)
Lineage: Eukaryota; Metazoa; Chordata; Mammalia; Rodentia; Sciuridae
Description: tRNA.Ala
Source: RNAcentral